UUUUCAAGUAGAAGGAUUUUAAAUUAGCAAAAAUAAACUUUUCAAGUAGAAUGGUACUCCAGAAAAGUUUGGUUGAAAAGUUUGGGUGAAAAAUAGUUAUUCGGCCUUCAAAUCCUACGCAGAAUUAAAAUGACAGCCAAGAAGAUUUCGUAAGUGACAGACAUGUUACUCUGUUCCAAGUUCCGGAAGAAGAGGCUAGACCAUCUCGCCGUGAAUAUCCAAGCAGAACGCUAAGUUUCAUCAGCGACGCCUGAAAGAUAAUAUGAAAACGAUAUUUAAAAUAAUAUCAAGCGGGAGAUGGCCGUGGACGAGGUGGUGGUGGAGGUGGUGGAGGUGCGGAGUUAUGAUAAUUGGAGCGUUGAUAAGUACACAAUUAGCUUACGGCGGCGGCGGCAGCAGCAAUGCUUUUAUUUCCAAGGACGAAGACGUUCCGGUAUCUCGUAUAGCUUUCGGAUCUUGUGCCGACCAAAGCGCUCCUCAGCCCAUAUGGAAUGCAAUUAUCGAAUUUGAUCCACAAGUUUUCAUUUGGCUGGGGGACAAUAUAUACGGAGACAUUAAACGCCCUUUUAAACUAUUUGGAAGAGAAAGGACAAUUGGCCCUUGGAAGAAUGUUCUAAGGUUUGCUCCUACUUCCCAGGAGGAACUUGAAUCCAGAUACAGCAUAAUCAAGAAUAAUCCUGAUUAUUCUCAUCUUCGUAAGACUUCUAAGGUAAUUGGUACAUGGGAUGACCAUGAUUAUGGACUAAAUGAUGCCGGCAAAGAAUUUCCACACAAAGUCCGUAACCAAAGGCUUUCCCUUGAUUUCUUGGAUGAACCUCAAGAUAGUCCACGCCGCAAGCAAGCUGGCAUCUAUACAUCAUAUAUGUUUGGCCCCGUGGGUAAACAGAUCAAGAUAAUCCUCUUGGACACUAGAUACCACAGAGACCCUUUGAAUAGUGAUGGAAGUAUCUUGGGAAGUGCACAAUGGACAUGGUUGGAAAAAGAGUUGAAGGGUCCACCUUCUGCCAUUACCAUAAUUGGAUCUUCCAUUCAGGUUGUAUCAAAUCUUUCAGCGACCACUGGGCCGUUGUUCGAUAUGGAGUCUUGGGGACGUUUUCCAAAAGAGAGGGAUCGCCUUUUUAAAUUAAUAGCGGAUAGUAAGAGAGACGGAGUCUUCUUUAUCAGUGGAGAUGUUCAUUUUGGAGAAAUUACACGGUAUGAUUGUGCUGUUGAAUAUCCAUUGUAUGAUGUUACUUCAAGUGGGCUUACACAAGCUGUUGAAAAGGUUGUCCCAUCACCAUUACAUUUCAUAGUGAGAUUUCUGGCAUGGUUGACACCAAACACAAUGAGAGUUAUGGACCGAAAUUGCAGACACAGAUCAUGCACAUAUGGCCUUCCAAAUUUUGGAACCAUUGAGAUAGACUGGAAUGCAACUCCAGUGGCACUGAAAAUUGCAGUGCGGGAUAUGAACGGAUUUCCUGUUACAGGUGUAGAUAUUUUAUUAUCAGAACUUCAAGCAAAAACUGUAAAUUCUGUGGCCAGUAUUAAAGUGGGAGAACAGAGGAAGCAUUGUUCUCUUGAAGUUGAUCUUCCAUGGAUCGUCAGAUACCGCCUGGCUAUUUUCUUCUUUUUUGUUUUGCUUCUUGCUUUGGUGGGACUCAAUAUUUUAGCUGCAUCACUGAUCAGGCUAGCUCUUCGCAAAUGCAAGCUUGACUGACCAUAUGAUUGAUCUCUGUAUCAUGAUUUACGCCCCUAAAUAACCAUGUUGACUCACUGAUCAGUUUUGCAUGGACCAUAGUAGAUGGCUUGACUUUCAAGAUCAAUACCGAUCCAGAAGUCAUCUAUCCACACGGGUACAUGGAACAUUUAGUUGUUUAGAUUCAGAGUACUUCCGGAUUAACCUGUCUACACUGAAGAGUGACGUUUAUCAGGGGUGGAUAUAAAUCUAACUGCGUUCACACACUCCUUAAUUUAAAUUUAAA
This is an RNA transcript of Mangifera indica (mango), 1961 nucleotides long. It is a transcript of the gene named alkaline phosphatase D, with no coding region annotated. The record is from RefSeq and is a predicted model, not a curated record. NCBI's taxonomy places the organism in Eukaryota, Viridiplantae, Streptophyta, Magnoliopsida, Sapindales, Anacardiaceae. The transcript has 10 exons.